Long non-coding RNA from Numida meleagris (helmeted guineafowl), 4266 nucleotides. RefSeq lists it as uncharacterized. NCBI's taxonomy places the organism in Eukaryota, Metazoa, Chordata, Aves, Galliformes, Numididae. The transcript is spliced from 3 exons. The record is from RefSeq and is a predicted model, not a curated record.
CUGUAGUAGUCCUUCUCUUCUGAACUAGGUAUGUCCACUACAUGAUGUUAUGAUGUGGAAUACCAAUAACCGAAAAUCACAAAACCAUGACAUCUGAAAAGCUUUAGGAGAAAAUAGCAUCGUCUGAUGGUAUUGCGUGAGGAACUGGUGUAUUAUCGAAGAGAAGUCAUUCCAUAAUGUGAUUUUUUAAAAACUAUUUUGUUGGCUACAGUUGCUUAGAUGAAUGAAACAAACCUCAAUGAAACAAACUGACCAUAGUCAUAAAUGGAAAUUCAGUAAUAAAUGUCCCUGUGGAACAAAGACUUCCCACAAAAGCAUUUUAUUGGUUAAUUCACAAGGUAAAAGGUUACGUUUUUUUUCAAAUAUAGUUGUUAUUUGUAAAAGCUAUGGUUUGGGACAUAGAAGUUGUUCUUUUGGUGAAAAGUGUGUAUAAUCUGUCAUACACUUUCAUUGUGUUUUAAGCCCCAGUAUCAAAAUUCAGAACCUGGCAAUUCCUACAAGAAUGAGAAACUGGUGAUAGAAAUGAAAUGGUUUUUUUGAGGCAGCUUUGCAGCCAUGUGCUUAUUUUACAGAGAAAGUAUGCAAUUUUGCUUCGACAAACACAGCCAAAAGCCAUCAGAGCUUUUCUUUCUUUUUAUUCCCCUUUUUUCCCCUUUUUCUUUUUUUUCUUCUUUUUCCAGAAAUACUCCAAGUGAUUAUACCUGCAAGUAGCAUUCAAAAAAAGCUUCAUCCUCCCACUGUCAAUACACAACAUUCCUCUUUGCUCUCAUACUCCGUUUACUUGCAUUUUCCAAGAUCAUCUUUCUCUAUGGGUCUACAACUAGGAAAAAAAAAAAAAAACCACCCUCUGUUCAUCCAUUAGAUUCUGUUCUACACAGUCCCUGAGCAUUCAGUUCUGCACAGGCACCAACAUCUUGGGGCUGUCACUUCUAUUGCGUGCAAAUGUUUUAAACAUCUGGUUGCCCUUGGUUUUGAGCCAUAAAGACUUAAUGUAUGUGCCAGCUUCCAUGAAGCCUGUGAUUAUUUCUUGAUUCUAGAUGAUACCCAUGCCUUCCCUAUACCUGUUAGAGUUUGCAUCAUAUCCAUGCACACGCACAUUUUUUAGAAAGGAUGAAGUGGCUUUUUGUCACUCCUUAAUCCUUUGUCAAAGGGUAGAAAAUAACAGUGUUUUUCUGUGUGAGCUGGGUGGACAUCAGAGACUUUGCUCUUUCUUUGGGUCCCACAGCCCUGCUUUGAAAUAUUUUUAGAGAUGAAAAGGGUGUAGUUGUAGCUUUAAAACCAUGAACUUUGCUCAUUACUGCAAUAAAUGGUUCUCCUUUUUAUUCUGGGUUCCAGGAUGAGAUAAUACACAGAAGUAAAAAAAAAAAAUAUGGGUGUCUUCUAGUUUAUUAUCUCCUGACUUUUUUUCCUCCCUUUAAUUUAUUUUUGGAGUCUGGCAAGAAAAGCACGCCAAAAAGGCCCAGUGUAUUGAUGUGUGAAAUUGAAGGAGUCGAUGAUUCUUAUGAUCCAGACACCAUGCCCUUUGACAGGGUUAACAUAAAAAGAAACAUACUGGAAAACACACACUUAAAUAUGAAAAAUUCCUUAAAUUCAGGGUGUGUUCAUACAAAGUGAAAUUUUUACAGUGUGGAAAGCAUUAAACCUGAUCCAGAAAAAACGUGAGGUGCCCCAGCCAUUGAGAUGUGAAUCUCUUUAAUCCACACAAGCAUUAGAAAAAUCUGAAACAUGUGAAAGUUCAAAAGCUGCAAAGCCAUUACAUGACUCCUUAUUCAUUUCUCAAAUAUUGUAACUUUUUAUUGAACUGUGAAAAGGCUUCUUCUUGUAUUUUUUUUCCCUUUUCAUAAGCAAUAUAUCAGUCGCUCACUAAUGCGUUAUUCCGCACUGUGAAGCUGAAAGUGAGUUUCGUUUGGUUAUGUCUACCUGGCUAUAAAUCUUUGAUUUAUUUCAGAGCGUUUAUGUAGCAUUUCAGAAGUUGGUAACUUGCACCUUUUCAGCAUUUCCUGUUGGGGAAGGGGAAAAGGCAAGAAUUAGUAGAAUGUCAAUGGAGGUUUUUUUUAAGAUCUCAGUGUAUUUCACAGUCAGUUCAGAGGCCAUUUUAAUGACCAGCUUGAACUUUGCAUGACAGCUUUUUAACUGUACACAUGCAAAUAAAUAAAUAAACGACCCAAAAUAUCUUCUUGCAGCUUAACUUUACAGUUCCUACCUACACUCAGAGGACCCUGAAAUUCAGUGAAAAUUUGCUCCAGUGCAAAUGCUGAAGCAUCCCUGUUCUUCACUCAUCAUUCUGUGGAGUGCUAGCCUGAAAACUUAUGUUAUGCUGAAGAUUAACAAGGGAUUAAGAGUGAGCAGCGGAUUUUCCAGGAAAUGGUGUGGCCUGCUGCUACUUUCUGCUUGCCUGACUGCCUGCUAAAGUCCAUCCUUCCUGGCACUGCUCACACCAGCUCCAGCUGCUCCAAGUUGCUUUGCAAUCACAUCAUCUACCUCCUUGAAUUCAGAAGAUUGGUCACCUUCUGUAGUACUGCUGUGUGGAUGAAUCCUAAUCUUGAAAUUAGGUUAUUAAAGAUGAGGCAACCCCUAGUAUCUGGGAGUAGUAUAUACUGGAGUCCUAUGAGACACAUAGAUAUAUAGCCAGACAGAACCUUUCUCCAGUGGAUAUCUUGUCCUUAGAGCUAUUACCUUGGAAACACUCCUUAGUAUUUUAAAUCACACUCCCCACUUCUUAGGUAUAUUCUAUUUGUCAGACAUAGCCUAGCUACAGAAUGGCCAAUCUCUGAGCACUCAGCUAUGCUGUUGACCUCUCAAUCUGUGUAGAAAUGGAUUUUCAUCUUUUGUUCAAGCUUGUAUUUUGCUAAAUGAUUAAAUAAAAACAAAACACAACAAAACAAAACAUUGUAAAUACCGACCUGUUAGGACUGAUCUGUCUAUCGAUUGAUGGAGUGUUCAAAUCCACCACAGGAACAGCUAGUCCCAGUACUUGAUGCUUCACUCUGAAGCAGACAUGUACUUUCAUAACCACAAAUAUCUGGUUUUAUUCCCAGAAACUCUUAUUUCUUGGUCAACCCCAUGUUUCUUAAAUACUGUCACGGCAUUGAGGGGAAAGCUAUGUGCAUGUGAGAACUUGUAAGCUUGGACACAUUAGCAAACAAGAAGUCAGUUUAGUAUUGUGCAUUAAUGAAAGAGAAUAAAAAUAAAAGUCAGCUGAAAGCAAGUCCCACCCACAUACCACUUCAACAAAGUGUGUGAAGCAGAGGACAGCUGUGACCAUGAUGUCAUACACUGAGGCAUUAUGGCUUCACACUGCAUUCUGCCUCUGAGCAGUCAUUUGAUAACACUGCAAUCCAGGAAUGCAGCUGUUCCUUUCUGCAUGUUUAAUGAUCCACACAUCUUAAAGAGCAUUUUUUUUUCAUAUUUUUUAUUAACUUCUUUUGUGUUAUGUUUUGUAUCAGUGAAGACAGAACAUUUUAUACGGAGUCAUCAGGGAAAUUAUGUUUUCUUUUUUCCUUUUUUUUGGUUGUUCAAGACUUACGUUCACAGUAAAGAGGCUUCAAGGUUUGUGCUGCUGUGAGAUGAACUGCAUUUUGCAUCACUGUCUUCACCUUCACAUCUGGGGUUGUUGCCUUCACCUUCCUUCUGAUACUAGCCCUGAGGCACAUUAUCUCAUAUCCACACACGUUCUGUCGUGUCUCAUUCUUUGAAUGAAUAAAAAACAUUUUCAGAAAAUGGAAAAUGGAGGGCUGGAUUGAAUUCUGUAGAUAUGCAUGUAGGAGACACUCUGCAUGCAUAUUCCCACUUUCCUGCCUCCAGGUGGUGGUUGUAGGAAGCAAAUGCCUUGACGUUUCUGUCUUUCUUUUGUGGAAACCUUAUGAGGCUGUGUUCAAACACAGAAUCCCACAGAAUCACUGAAUCACAGGGGUUGGAAGGGGCCUCAAGAGAUCAGCAAUUCCAACCCCCCUGCCAAAGCAGAUUCCCUACAAUAGGUUGCACAGGUAGCCGUCCAGACGAGUCUUGAAUGUCUCUUUAGAAGGAAACUCCACAGCCUCUCUGGGCAGCCUGUUCCAGUGCUCCGUCACCCUUGCUGUAAAGUUCUUCCGUAUGUUAGAAUAGAACUUCCUAUGCUCAAGUUCAAGUAUGUUUAUGCAUUACCUCUUGUUUGCAACACCACAUUCAGCUCCAACUCUAAGGGAAGGACGACAAGUUCACAGAAUCACACAAUUGUAGGCAUUGGAAGGGACCUCUAGAGAUCAUCGAGUCCAACCCCCCUGCAAA